GUCUUAAUAGUAUAAAUUAUUACUCUGGUCUUGUAAACCAGAAAUGAAGAAUUACUCUUCUUAAGAUA
RNAcentral lists this transfer RNA (68 nucleotides) under Hylomyscus parvus. Its description in RNAcentral is "tRNA-Thr". Lineage: Eukaryota; Metazoa; Chordata; Mammalia; Rodentia; Muridae. The record is from RNAcentral.